Molecule: ribosomal RNA, 253 nt
Filed under: uncultured bacterium
Lineage: Bacteria
Description: partial 16S ribosomal RNA
Rfam family: Bacterial small subunit ribosomal RNA
Source: RNAcentral
UACGGAGGGUGCAAGCGUUGUCCGGAAUCACUGGGCGUAAAGGGCGCGUAGGCGGCUCGGCAAGUCGGCGGUGAAAUCCUGCGGCUCAACCGCAGGGCUGCCUUCUAAACUGUCGAGCUCGAGCACGGUAGAGGCAGAUGGAAUUCCCGGUGUAGCGGUGGAAUGCGUAGAGAUCGGGAAGAACAUCAGUGGCGAAGGCGGUCUGCUGGGCCGUUGCUGACGCUGAGGCGCGACAGCGUGGGGAGCAAACAGG